Non-coding RNA from Coturnix japonica (Japanese quail), 1201 nucleotides. The record is from RefSeq and is a predicted model, not a curated record. NCBI's taxonomy places the organism in Eukaryota, Metazoa, Chordata, Aves, Galliformes, Phasianidae.
UUUGGGUUCACUGAAUUCUAAGCCAUUUUCUGGGCAGAUCAGUGGAAGUCCACAUAAGCCAUCCAGAGCAGCUUCCCACUGCAGAUGGUCAACAUGAAUGUUCCAGCACCUCCACUGAGGACGCAGCAAGGAUGCAGCAGCCCCUGUGCUCUGUGAUGGGCCAGGCAUCCUGCGCCCACCGUGCUGACUCCAUCGAGUUCCCUGGGCUUCACAACACUAUGCUGGAAAACUUUCCCCAUUCCCAUCAUAUCCUGGUGCACCGGGGAAGCCUUCCUUCUUUUAUCAAGGAGGAAUUGACCAGCAUCAAGGGAUGCUCCUCAGGGCAGCACCAGCAGCUCUCAGACCACUCCGGGUCGCUUCUGCUUCAGGGAUUCCCCUUCUCGGACCCUCACGGUCUGACGAUUGACAGCAGUUGUCGCCGCUUUGUCUCGUUCGGAGCAGCCCUGCCAGGCGCUCUGAGGGGCAGGUUUAAGGACAGAAUCACUGCAGAUCGGAUGGCACUUUCAAAAAGAAAACUCAUGUUUUUAAUGUUCUUCUUUAAGGAAAUGACAACAAAAUAACACAGUGGGGUGAGAUGCCGAGUCAGCUGGGAAGUUUCAGCGUGUCCCGCUGCCAUUUGCUGGGUGUCCCCUCUCCUGCUGGGGCGGUGUGUCCCAUAGUGCCGCCAUCCGUUGUGCUCCGGCUCCCUCUAGUGCCGCUCUGUGCUGAUAUCGCUGCUCCUCCAUCCGGCUGCUCCGGCUCCAUUUGUGGCCCGGAGCUGUGCUCACCUCCAGCUGUUAGUGUGGGCUCACAGCACCGCCGGGCCCUUUUCGACCGAACACAGCAAAGCCUUUCCGCCGCCGGGCCCGAGCGGGACAUCAGGGAGGAACGUUCGCGUGGCGGAACCUCCGUGCCAGCGGCGCUUGUUGCACCCCGACCAACUGGCUUCCGGUCCAUACUUCCGGUUCCGCCUACCCCCAUUUCCCAGGUUCCCUUGCGGCUCCUUUCUCUUCCGGUUCCCGCCCCGCCGUGGUUCGGUGCCGCCAUGGCCAAGUCCAAGAACCACACCACGCACAAUCAGUGUGAGUCACCGCCCCGGGCCCGGCUGUGCCCGUAAGUGGCACAGAAAUGGCAUCAAGAAGCCCAGAAAACAUCGAUACGAGUCUCUCAAAGGGGUUGAUCCCAAGUUCCUGAGGAACAUGAGAUUUGCCAAGAAACACAA